RNAcentral lists this ribosomal RNA (497 nucleotides) under uncultured bacterium. RNAcentral describes it as "partial 16S ribosomal RNA". It matches the Rfam family "Bacterial small subunit ribosomal RNA", at positions 28 to 507 of the family's 1533-position model. The record is from RNAcentral.
GAUGAACGCUGGCGGCGUGCCUAAUACAUGCAAGUCGAGCGAACGGACGAGAAGCUUGCUUUUCUGAUGUUAGCGGCGGACGGGUGAGUAACACGUGGAUAACCUACCUAUAAGACUGGGAUAACUUCGGGAAACCGGAGCUAAUACCGGAUAAUAUUUUGAACCGCAUGGUUCAAAAGUGAAAGACGGUCUUGCUGUCACUUAUAGAUGGAUCCGCGCUGCAUUAGCUAGUUGGUAAGGUAACGGCUUACCAAGGCAACGAUGCAUAGCCGACCUGAGAGGGUGGUCGGCCACACUGGAACUGAGACACGGUCCAGACGCCUACGGGAGGCAGCAGUAGGGAAUCUUCCGCAAUGGGCGAAAGCCUGACGGAGCAACGCCGCGUGAGUGAUGAAGGUCUUCGGAUCGUAAAACUCUGUUAUUAGGGAAGAACAUAUGUGUAAGUAACUGCGCACAUCUUGACGGUACCUAAUCAGAAAGCCACGGCUAACUACGUG